AUUGAACGCUGGCGGCAUGCUUUACACAUGCAAGUCGAACGGUAACAGGCCGUCUGGUGCUGACGAUUGGCGGACGGGUGAGUAAUGCAUCGGAACGUGCCCUGAGGUGGGGGAUAAGGCAGCGAAAGCUGUGCGAAUACCGCAUGUGAUCGGAGGAUGAACGCGGGGGACGAAGCUGCAAUGUUUGGCCUGGCGGCUCUGGACCCGCCGAUGUUGGGCUAGGUAGUUGGUGGGUUAAAGGCCUACCAAGCGGACGAUCUGUAGCUGGUCUGAGAGGACGGCCAGCCACACUGGGACUGAGACACGGCCCUGACUCCUACGGGAGGCAGCAGUGGGGAAUUUUGGACAAUGGGCGCAAGCCUGAUCCAGCAAUGCCGCGUGCGGGAAGGAGGCCUUCGGGUUGUAAAGCGCUUUUGUGCGGAACGAAAAGGCUCUGGCUAAUACCUGGGGCUGAUGACGGUACCGGAAGAAUAAGCACCGGCUAACUACGUG
This 492-nucleotide ribosomal RNA is filed under the name uncultured bacterium. RNAcentral describes it as "partial 16S ribosomal RNA". It matches the Rfam family "Bacterial small subunit ribosomal RNA", at positions 28 to 507 of the family's 1533-position model. The record is from RNAcentral.